RNAcentral lists this ribosomal RNA (403 nucleotides) under uncultured bacterium. RNAcentral's name for it is "partial 16S ribosomal RNA". It matches the Rfam family "Bacterial small subunit ribosomal RNA", at positions 28 to 526 of the family's 1533-position model. The record is from RNAcentral.
GACGAACGCUGGCGGCGUGCCUAAUACAUGCAAGUCGAACGCAGUGGGGACGGGUGAGUAACACGUGGGUAACCUCCCAUCAGAGGGGAUAACACUUGGAAACAGGUGCUAAACCGCUACUGAUGGAUGGACCCGCGGUGCAUUAGCUAGUUGGUGAGGUAACGGCUCACCAAGGCCACGAUGCAUAGCAGACCUGAGAGGAGGAUCGGAUACACUGGGACCGAGAAACGGCCCAGAAUCCGACGGGAGGCAGCAGUAGGGAAGCUUCGGCAAUGGACGCAAGGACGACCGAGCAACGCCGCGUGAGUGAAGAAGGUUUUCGGAUCGUAAAACUCUGUUGUUAGAGAAGCGGUAUCUAACCAGAAAGCCACGGCUAAUUACGUGCCAGCCGCCGCGGUAAUUC